ACUUGCACCACAAAAACAAACUAAAAGUAUAUGUGAAAUAAACUUUUGCCAAAGAUGUUUUCUGUCAUUUUGUAGUUCAGGUUGCAUUUGCAGGUUCAACUUGGCCUAUCAGAUAGUUCUUGCUAAAAUACAAACGUACGCCCCGCCCACCGCUUCUGCUUAUGUCGCGAACCCUUUCGUUAGCCGUCGUUAGAUCCACUAAACGCUACUUUACUCCAGUUUCAAAGUUCAGAGUUUCCUGUCCUGCCGUCGACAGCCGGUGACUGCGACUCUCAUUUUACUCCAGUAAGCUAAGGGAUCAGCUGUCGGCUCCCGGGUUGGGGAUAGCCGGCUGAAGAGGGGGGAAAUGCACGGACGUGAGAACCCCCUGCAAACCCCCCAUCUGCACGUCAUGGAACAUUUGCAGAACAGGAACCUCCCACCUUAAAGGCGUGCAACAGAGAGCAGACACAACAGAGAGAUCAGCCCUGCACCGGACUCACCAUCUUAGGUGACAAAUACACCUCCCGCUAUUGUGUAUCAGCGGGAGGAGGAAGAACAAUUUGAUAAAAAAAUAAAAUACAGUACGAGCGCGGUGGGAACGGCGGGGGGGACGCAGGUUUACCGGUCACCGCACAGCACCAACAUGACUUCAUCGACAUUUUAAUGAUGCACGACAGAGAAAUCUUGUUUUCUUGAGUCUGUCGUGCACAGCAGGGGUAUAGAGAUCAGUUUUGCGCCGUCAGCGUGCUUUAAAAUGUCCCACACGGCCGGGGUGUUCUUACAGCUGCGAACAGCAGAGGGCGCUAAGGCGUCGCAAUAUUUCAGAUAAUCCUGGCGUGAUCAAAGUCAAACUGAUACGAUCAAUAUACAUAUGAGGAGAUUUAUUUCAGUGAUGUUCUUUAAUGAUACAUUAGUUUUGUUUGAACAAUCCUUCACAUUUAAACAAACUGUCACAUCAGUGCUGCUGGGAAAUCAAAUGAAGAAUAUGUAGAUUUAAAAAGACAAUUACAGAAGUGACAAAAGUUCCUCAUAUUUCACAGUUUUGAUGUCAGAGGUCCAUUAAUGCAUACAGGCAAACUUUUCUGGGCCUGAAAAAUGACUUUUAUGUCUCAAAGUUAACUUUUAUGAUUGAAGUCACCCAAUAUAAAAACAA
Scatophagus argus is the source of this 1135-nucleotide long non-coding RNA. RefSeq lists it as uncharacterized. The record is from RefSeq and is a predicted model, not a curated record. NCBI's taxonomy places the organism in Eukaryota, Metazoa, Chordata, Actinopteri, Scatophagidae. The transcript is spliced from 2 exons.